UACAGAGGUCUCAAGCGUUGUUCGGAUUCAUUGGGCGUAAAGGGUGCGUAGGCGGCGCGGUAAGUCGGGUGUGAAAUCUCGGGGCUUAACUCCGAAACUGCAUUCGAUACUACCGUGCUUGAGGACUGGAGAGGAGACUGGAAUUUACGGUGUAGCAGUGAAAUGCGUAGAUAUCGUAAGGAAGACCAGUGGCGAAGGCGGGUCUCUGGACAAUUCCUGACGCUGAGACACGAAGGCCAGGGGAGCAAACGGG
RNAcentral lists this ribosomal RNA (253 nucleotides) under uncultured bacterium. Its description in RNAcentral is "partial 16S ribosomal RNA". It matches the Rfam family "Bacterial small subunit ribosomal RNA", at positions 524 to 776 of the family's 1533-position model. The record is from RNAcentral.